RNAcentral lists this ribosomal RNA (322 nucleotides) under Salmonella enterica. Its description in RNAcentral is "partial 23S ribosomal RNA". It matches the Rfam family "Bacterial large subunit ribosomal RNA", at positions 870 to 1190 of the family's 2925-position model. RNAcentral also lists the same sequence under 1 other name. The record is from RNAcentral. Lineage: Bacteria; Pseudomonadati; Pseudomonadota; Gammaproteobacteria; Enterobacterales; Enterobacteriaceae.
UUAGGUAGCGCCUCGUGAAUUCAUCUCCGGGGGUAGAGCACUGUUUCGGCUAGGGGGCCAUCCCGGCUUACCAACCCGAUGCAAACUGCGAAUACCGGAGAAUGUUAUCACGGGAGACACACGGCGGGUGCUAACGUCCGUCGUGAAGAGGGAAACAACCCAGACCGCCAGCUAAGGUCCCAAAGUCAUGGUUAAGUGGGAAACGAUGUGGGAAGGCCCAGACAGCCAGGAUGUUGGCUUAGAAGCAGCCAUCAUUUAAAGAAAGCGUAAUAGCUCACUGGUCGAGUCGGCCUGCGCGGAAGAUGUAACGGGGCUAAACCAU